GGCCCAGACUCCUACGGGAGGCAGCAGUGGGGAAUAUUGGACAAUGGGGGGAACCCUGAUCCAGCCAUGCCGCGUGUGUGAAGAAGGCCUUAUGGUUGUAAAGCACUUUAAGCGAGGAGGAGGCUACUUUAGUUAAUACCUAGAGAUAGUGGACGUUACUCGCAGAAUAAGCACCGGCUAACUCUGUGCCAGCAGCCGCGGUAAUACAGAGGGUGCGAGCGUUAAUCGGAUUUACUGGGCGUAAAGCGUGCGUAGGCGGCUUAUUAAGUCGGAUGUGAAAUCCCCGAGCUUAACUUGGGAAUUGCAUUCGAUACUGGUGAGCUAGAGUAUGGGAGAGGAUGGUAGAAUUCCAGGUGUAGCGGUGAAAUGCGUAGAGAUCUGGAGGAAUACCGAUGGCGAAGGCAGCCAUCUGGCCUAAUACUGACGCUGAGGUACGAAAGCAUGGGGAGCAAACAGGAUUAGAUACCCUGGUAGUCCAUGCCGUAAACGAUGUCUACUAGCCGUUGGGGCCUUUGAGGCUUUAGUGGCGCAGCUAACGCGAUAAGUAGACCGCCUGGGGAGUACGGUCGCAAGACUAAAACUCAAAUGAAUUGACGGGGGCCCGCACAAGCGGUGGAGCAUGUGGUUUAAUUCGAUGCAACGCGAAGAACCUUACCUGGCCUUGACAUACUAGAAACUUUCCAGAGAUGGAUUGGUGCCUUCGGGAAUCUAGAUACAGGUGCUGCAUGGCUGUCGUCAGCUCGUGUCGUGAGAUGUUGGGUUAAGUCCCGCAACGAGCGCAACCCUUUUCCUUACUUGCCAGCAUUUCGGAUGGGAACUUUAAGGAUACUGCCAGUGACAAACUGGAGGAAGGCGGGGACGACGUCAAGUCAUCAUGGCCCUUACGGCCAGGGCUACACACGUGCUACAAUGGUCGGUACAAAGGGUUGCUACACAGCGAUGUGAUGCUAAUCUCAAAAAGCCGAUCGUAGUCCGGAUUGGAGUCUGCAACUCGACUCCAUGAAGUCGGAAUCGC
Molecule: ribosomal RNA, 1015 nt
Filed under: Acinetobacter baumannii
Lineage: Bacteria; Pseudomonadati; Pseudomonadota; Gammaproteobacteria; Moraxellales; Moraxellaceae
Description: bacterial SSU rRNA
Rfam family: Bacterial small subunit ribosomal RNA
Source: RNAcentral